This 399-nucleotide ribosomal RNA is filed under the name uncultured bacterium. Its description in RNAcentral is "bacterial SSU rRNA". It matches the Rfam family "Bacterial small subunit ribosomal RNA", at positions 28 to 400 of the family's 1533-position model. The record is from RNAcentral.
GACGAACGCUGGCGGCGUGCUUAACACAUGCAAGUCGAGCGGUAAGGCCCUUUCGGGGGUACGACGAGCGGCGAACGGGUGAGUAACACGUGGGUGACCUGCCCUCAGCUCUGGGAUAAGCCUGGGAAACGUGGGUCUAAUACCGGAUAUGACCUUUCCUCGCAUGGGGUUUGGUGGAAAGUCCGUGGGCGUUGAUUGUCGUGGGUUUCGGCUGGGGAGUCGGGCCCGCGGCCUAUCAGCUUGUUGGGUGGGGUGAUGGCCUACCGAAGGCGACGACGGGUAGCCGGCCUGAGAGGGCGACCGGCCACGACUGGGACUGAGACACGGCCCAGACGUCCUACGGGAGGCAGCAGUGGGGAAUAUUGCGCAAUGGGCGGAAGCCUGACGCAGCGACGCCGC